GACGAACGCUGGCGGCGCGCCUAACACAUGCAAGUCGAACGAGCGAGAGAGAGCUUGCUUUCUCAAGCGAGUGGCGAACGGGUGAGUAACGCGUGAGGAACCUGCCUCAAAGAGGGGGACAACAGUUGGAAACGACUGCUAAUACCGCAUAAGCCCACGACCCGGCAUCGGGUAGAGGGAAAAGGAGCAAUCCGCUUUGAGAUGGCCUCGCGUCCGAUUAGCUAGUUGGUGAGGUAACGGCCCACCAAGGCGACGAUCGGUAGCCGGACUGAGAGGUUGAACGGCCACAUUGGGACUGAGACACGGCCCAGACUCCUACGGGAAGCAGCAGUGGGGAAUAUUGCACAAUGGGGGAAACCCUGAUGCAGCGACGCCGCGUGGAGGAAGAAGGUCUUCGGAUUGUAAACUCCUGUUGUUGAGGAAGAUAAUGACGGUACUCAACAAGGAAGUGACGGCUAACUACGUG
This 466-nucleotide ribosomal RNA is filed under the name uncultured bacterium. RNAcentral describes it as "partial 16S ribosomal RNA". It matches the Rfam family "Bacterial small subunit ribosomal RNA", at positions 28 to 507 of the family's 1533-position model. The record is from RNAcentral.